RNAcentral lists this transfer RNA (74 nucleotides) under Candidatus Rifleibacteriota bacterium. RNAcentral's name for it is "tRNA-Arg". It matches the Rfam family "tRNA". From Rfam's summary of the family: Transfer RNA (tRNA) molecules are approximately 80 nucleotides in length. Their secondary structure includes four short double-helical elements and three loops (D, anti-codon, and T loops). Further hydrogen bonds mediate the characteristic L-shaped molecular structure. tRNAs have two regions of fundamental functional importance: the anti-codon, which is responsible for specific mRNA codon recognition, and the 3' end, to which the tRNAs corresponding amino acid is attached (by aminoacyl-tRNA synthetases). tRNAs cope with the degeneracy of the genetic code in two manners: having more than one tRNA (with a specific anti-codon) for a particular amino acid; and 'wobble' base-pairing, i.e. permitting non-standard base-pairing at the 3rd anti-codon position. The record is from RNAcentral. Lineage: Bacteria; Candidatus Rifleibacteriota. RNAcentral also lists the same sequence under 3 other names.
GCGCUUGUAGCUCAACUGGAUAGAGCGACGGACUUCGGAUCCGUAGGCUGAGGGUUCGAAUCCUUCCAGGCGCG